Molecule: long non-coding RNA, 1279 nt
Filed under: Castor canadensis (American beaver)
Lineage: Eukaryota; Metazoa; Chordata; Mammalia; Rodentia; Castoridae
Description: lncRNA (ENSCCNG00000001552.1)
Source: RNAcentral
AAGAGGAAGGGAAACCGAAAAAGAGGGAGAGAGGGAAGGAGAAACAGAGAGAGAGAGAAAGAGAGGGAGCACUGGAGUACUCAAGUUCAGAGCCUUGAACUUGCUAGUCAGGAGAUCUGUAACUUAAGGCACAUCCCAGUGUCUCCCCUGACUUUUUAAUUUAUUUUUGCUUUAGUUCUUUUUCAGGUAAGUUCUUUUAACUUUUUGCCUGGAACCAGUAUCCUCAGACUAGUAUCCUCCUACCUGCAACCUCCUGCAUAGCUGAGAGUAUAGGUGUGUGUUGAGGUGGGGGUCUUGCUACCUCUUUGCCCAGGCUGGCCUUAAGCCAGGCUCCUCCUGAUCUCUUUCUCCCAAGUAGCUGGGAUUGCUACUAGUAGUAGUAGUAGGCGUGAGCCACUGUGUCUGGUCCCUUCACUCUUCCUUAUGUCUGAAUAAUACUCCAUUGUGUCUAUGUGCCACGUUUUCUUUAUUCAUUCACCAGUUGAUGGGGAACUAGGUUGAUUCCACAGCUUGGGUAUUGUGAAUAGGGAGUGCCACUGUAAACAUGGGGUGUGCUGAGUUUUCAAGGCAGUAUAGCUCUCACUCUCUUUUCCCUCUAGGCUGUGUGUGUGUGGGGGUGGCGGGGCGUGGGGAGAGAGAGAGAGAGAGACACUCAGGUCUGAGAAUCUGGGGUCAUUCUCCAUUCCGCUGUCACCUUGAACCAAUCGUUCCCCUUUAAACCCUGUUUCUAAUCAGUAAAUUACACAUAAAUAAAAAUAUUUAAUUGGACAGCAAAUAGAUCAACAACUGUGUGAAUCUUUUUCCUUGUUCCCACAGUCAACUCCUGUUUGAGGAUUCUGUCUCAGGAAUGUUUAUCCGAAGUGUUGCCUGAAGUUGCUUAUCAUUUCAUCUCAUUCUCCCUGUUUUCCACAACUCAGAGACAACAUGAAGUGUUUCCGGGAGUUGCUUAUCAUUUCCUCUCAGUCUCCCUGUAUCUCACUAGCAGAGAACGUCUUGCUGUGCAGACCAGGUUGGGACACCACCAAGCCCAGUGUGUUAUUGAGACUCUCCUAUGACAAAGUACCUGACAGAAACAAUUUACAGGAGGAAAGAUUUAUUUUGGCUCAUGGCUUCAGAGAUUUUGGCCCAUGGUCACCUGGCCCCAUUGUUGCAUGUCUGAGGUGAGGCUGAAAGUAUGGAGGGUGGGGGGAGAUCAGGGCAGAGCCAAGCUUCGUGCCUCCUGUGGCUAGGAAGCAGAGAGAGAGUACCAGAGGGAAGGGGGCUGGGACAGGAUGCACGC